RNAcentral lists this ribosomal RNA (492 nucleotides) under uncultured bacterium. Its description in RNAcentral is "partial 16S ribosomal RNA". It matches the Rfam family "Bacterial small subunit ribosomal RNA", at positions 29 to 507 of the family's 1533-position model. The record is from RNAcentral.
AGUGAACGCUGGCGGUAGGCCUAACACAUGCAAGUCGAACGGCAGCACAGUAAGAGCUUGCUCUUACGGGUGGCGAGUGGCGGACGGGUGCGGAAUACAUCGGAAUCUACUUUUUCGUGGGGGAUAACGUAGGGACACUUACGCUAAUACCGCAUACGACCUACGGGUGAAAGCAGGGGAUCUUCGGCCCUUGCGCGAUUGAAUGAGCCGAUGUCGGAUUAGCUAGUUGGCGGGGUAAAGGCCCACCAAGGCGACGAUCCGUAGCUGGUCUGAGAGGAUGAUCAGCCACGCUGGAACUGAGACACGGUCCAGACUCCUACGGGAGGCAGCAGUGGGGAAUAUUGGACAAUGGGCGCAAGCCUGAUCCAGCCAUACCGCGUGGGUGAAGAAGGCCUUCGGGUUGUAAAGCCCUUUUGUUGGGAAAGAAAAGCAGCAGGUUAAUACCCCGCUGUUCUGACGGUACCCAAAGAAUAAGCACCGGCUAACUUCGUG